This 73-nucleotide transfer RNA is filed under the name Camelus bactrianus (Bactrian camel). It matches the Rfam family "tRNA". From Rfam's summary of the family: Transfer RNA (tRNA) molecules are approximately 80 nucleotides in length. RNAcentral also lists the same sequence under 2 other names. The record is from Rfam by way of RNAcentral. Lineage: Eukaryota; Metazoa; Chordata; Mammalia; Artiodactyla; Camelidae.
GAGGGUAUAGCUCAACUGGAAGAGCACAUGCUUAGCAUGCAUGAGGUCCUGAGUUCAAUCCUCAGUACCUCCA